CUGAUCCCAGUGUACAAUGGCUGCAAACAGCAGCUUUCUUGGUGGUGUACAUGGCCUGUUUCUUGUAUGGGUUGCUCUAAGGGUCCUUGGAGACAGGC
This is a small nucleolar RNA of Gorilla gorilla gorilla (western lowland gorilla), 98 nucleotides long. Its record names the gene SNORA70. It matches the Rfam family "Small nucleolar RNA SNORA70". From Rfam's summary of the family: snoRNA U70 seems to be exclusive to mammals and is a member of the H/ACA class of snoRNA which contain H (ANANNA) and ACA box motifs. The record is from Ensembl. NCBI's taxonomy places the organism in Eukaryota, Metazoa, Chordata, Mammalia, Primates, Hominidae.